RNAcentral lists this ribosomal RNA (3837 nucleotides) under Cyclocybe aegerita. Its description in RNAcentral is "large subunit ribosomal RNA". It matches the Rfam family "Bacterial large subunit ribosomal RNA". Lineage: Eukaryota; Fungi; Basidiomycota; Agaricomycetes; Agaricales; Hemipholiotaceae. The record is from RNAcentral.
GGUUAGAAUCUUUAAAUCUAUCAUAUAGAUUUAAUUUAAAGGGGUUAUUAAGGAACAAAAAAGCAAAUUUAUAAAAAAGGAGGUAAAUACCAAAAGCUUUAAAUCUGAAUUUUAGUAGGAAAAGGAUCUAUUUUAACAAAAUUUUACUUUAUAUAAAGUAAAAUUAGUAUAAAAUAUUAUAUAAAAAAGCGAUCCUAAGGUAAACCUUAUUAAAAAAAACUUCCUGAAGUAAAACAUUUUAUGUAAGGAAAGGAAAGGAAAUCAACCGAGACUCCGAAAGUAAUGGCGAGUGAAAUCGGAUUAGCCUAAUCUAUUUGUAACAAAAAAAUUUAAAUAUUACUUGAAAUCUUAUUAAACCGAUAAAGAAAAAAUAAUAGUUUAAGUAUUAAACAUUGUUCACCUUUGGCCUAGCUAAGCUAAUUAUUUAUAAAUAAAAAUAUAAAUAGCCCUCUGGUUUUUAACCAUUCGGGUUUCAAACAAAGCAAGUCCUAGGAACAAUUAGUAAAUAUAUUAAUCAUGUUAUUUUUUACAAAAUAAGGUAUUCGAGUCCUGUAGAGUUAAUAACAAAUAAAUUGCCUAACUUCUCCUUUGUUCUUGUUUUUGUACUUUAUAUUUUAAAUAUAAAAGCAUAGCAAAAGCAAGAGGGAGAAUAGUUAGAAUAAAGUACGAUGAGAGUUAACUUGUCGGAAUAUAGGGGAACCAUCCUCUAAGGCUAAGUAUUAUAAAUUUAGCAAUAGCGAAAAGUACUGUAAAGGAAAAUUUUGAAAAGCAAGUAGUAUACUAAAGAUAUCAUAAAUAAAAAAAAGGUAGUGUUAUUUUAUAAUAUUAUCUUUUUUUUUAUUAAUUUAACUUAUUACUUAUCUUUAUUUUUUUAAACUAUCUCUAACCUCCUUUUUAUAUAUAAAAAAUAUAAAUACUUGCUUUGCUAGUUUUUCGGGGAAACUAGAGUCGUCGCUAGUAGAAAAAAAUUAUAUAAUUAUAAAAUAUGGUAUGGGAGAAAGAUCGUGAAUUAGAAAAUCUAUAAGCAGUCGAAGUUUCAUAACAAAAGUAAAAAGAAAAUGACGGCGUACCUUUUGCAUAAAUGGUCAGCAAGUUAAUAAGUAGCAAGGUUUAAACCUUAGCGAAACGGCUGGACUAUAAAAAUAGUGAUGGGUAAGUUACUUCUAUUAGACCCGAAGCCAGGUGAUCUUACCAAGACCAGAUUAUAAUGGAUCGAACGGUUGAAUGUUGCAUAAUUCUCCGAAGAGUUUUGGUAAGCGGUGAAAUGCCAAUCUGACCUGGUGCUAGCUGUUUUCUACCGAAACAUAUUUAAGUAUGAUGUCUAUCUAUAGAUUUAUGAAGGUACAGCAAGGCGAUUCCCAACAAGUUUAAUUUAAAUAAUUAUUUAUUUAAAUUUUAUACGUUUAGGUUGCGGGGACCUCGAAAAUCUUACCUUUGGAAGCGAAUCUCGGAAUUACAUAAAUUGAUGGUAGAUAUUCAGACUGUUCAUGCUAAGUUGGACAGUCAAGACGGAAACAGCCGAGAACACUGAUCAAGGUCCCAAAUGAUUGUUAAGUGAAAUUAAGGACGUAGCAAUAUCGUAUACAGCUGUGAAGUGAGCCUGGCAGUCGCUACUUAUAAUGAUCGUACGUAACAACGCAUCAGCAGUAAUUUUACUUAAAAAAAGUAAUAAAUGAUAGUAGCGCCGAAAAUUUAACGGGUCUUAAACAAUCAACCGAUAUCGUGUUGGUUAAAAAUAAUUUUUACACAGGUUGCAUAGAAUUAUUUUUAAUCUAGGUAGUAGAACAUUCAGUAAAACUGUUUAUAAAAUAGUGUUUCAUUAUUUUUUAGGUUACUGAAGAGAGAAUGCUGACAUGAGUAACGUAAAAAAUUCCUAUGGAAUUCGCCGAUACGAAAGGGUUGCAAAUAUGAAAGGUUAAACCGUUUUGUUUUAAUGCGGCCUCUAAGGACUAUAGCCAAAGCUAUGGCUGAUGAGUAAUAAAUAGAAAGUCCAAUAUUUAAAAAAUGGACCAGGAAAAUAAUAUUUAAUUUUACCCUCUGGUUUUUACAACUUCGGCUUUUGCUCUGUUUUAUAUUUAAAAUAUAAAGUACAAACAAAAGCAAGAGGUAAAAACUACCGUACCCUAAACCGACACAGGUUCGUAGGUAGAGUAUACUAAGGCGUUGAGCUAAAAGUUGUUAAGGAACUCGGCAAGUUAACCUCAUAAGUUUGACGACAAGAGGUACCGUUAAUAUUUAAACUUUAGCUUCUUGCUUAACUUAUUUAAUUAGUUUUAACCCUUUUUAUUUAUAUACAAAUAUAAAGAAUGGUUGUAAAAACUUUAUAUUUAAAAUAUAAAGUUUGUAACCAUUCGGGUUUCAAACAAAGCAAGAGGUUUAAGUUAUUUAUAUUUUUAUAUACAAUUUAAAUAUAAAUAAAAAAAAACAAAUUAACGGUGGCACAAAAUCGGAGGCCCCGACUGUUUACUAAAAACACAACACAGUGCAAUCAUUAAUAUGGUAGUAUACUGUGUGAAAUUUGCCCGAUGCCUUAAUAUAAGAAAAGUUAUGGUUAUUAUUUACUGUGACUAAUCGAAAAUCUGGUUAAUGGCGGUCUUAACUAUGAGGAUCCUAAGGUAGCAAAAUCAGUUGGCCAUUAAAUGUGGUCCGGUAUCAAUAAUGUAACGAUGGUCUCACUGUCUCUACAACUUGCUCAGUGAAAUUGAAUUAUGCGUGCAGAUGCGCGUUGCCUCCAGGGGGACGGGAAAACCCUAUGCAGCUUUACUGUAGUUAGUUAUCAUAUGAAUCUAGAACAAUCUUGUUUAAUAGUGAAUAGGAAUGUCGAUAGACUAAAUAGUGGAACCUUAUAAAUCAAGGUUGGGUUUGUGUUUACCUGAUAAUUUAAAAUUUAAAAUCUCAGGGAUAGUUGACUAAUUGGCAGUUGACUGGGGCGGUCGUCUUUAAUAGAGUAGCAAAGUACAUCCAAAUAUAUCAAACUACAGUAAAAACAAACCUUUUCUCUCCUACUUUAUAUUUUAAAUAUAAAGCAGAGCAAAAGUCAAAAGGGGGAUAAAGUUUUAUAACAAAAAAGUUUAAUCUUUUUAAAACUAUUAUAAGUAUAUUUAUAUAAUCUAAUUCUGGUCAAAUUAAUUAUAUUUAUAUGGCUUUAUUUUAGCUUUAAUUAAGGUUUAAAUUUUUAAUUUUUAAUUUUUAAUAUAUAAUUUAUAAGGUAUAGCUAGAAAUUGAAUGGAGAUCAAUCAACCAGUGAAGGGUUGCGCAGGGCUCAAUGGCGAUAAGCAUGCUUAACUGAAAGACUCAAAAGUCGCACAGAUACGUAAGUAGGGCAUAGUGACCCCUCGCUAUAGUAUGGGAUAGACGGGGAUCAAUUAAUAAAAGUUACGCUAGGGAUAACAGGCUGAUCGCGGACGAGAGUACACAUUGUCUCCGCGGUUUGGCACCUCGAUGUCGACUCAUCCUAUCUCCGGGGGAAGAAGCUUGGAAGGGUUCGGCUGUUCGCCGAUUAAAAGGGUACGUGAGUUGGGUUUUAAUACGACGUGAGUCAGUAUGGUCCCUAUCUUCUGGAGGGAUAAUUAGGUAAAAGGGGGCAGACCUUCUAGUACGAAAGGAUCAAUAGGCUGUGUUUCUCUAGUGUACCAAUUGUUUGUAAUUAAUGUAAGGGACUCUUAGUAUCUUGAAGGCAAAAGUAAAGAAAAAAGAGGAAAGUCCUUUUAACUUUUUUUUAAAAAAAGUUCUCCUUUUAAUAUAGGAUAUAGGGUAACUUUUAUGAAUGCAUAGUUGGGUAGCCACAAACAUAAUAGAUAAGUGACUGAAUGUCUAUAAAGGCAAGAAUCUAACCCC